GACGAACGCUGGCGGCGUGCCUAAUACAUGCAAGUUGAGCGCUGAAGGUUGGUACUUGUACCGACUGGAUGAGCAGCGAACGGGUGAGUAACGCGUGGGGAAUCUGCCUUUGAGCGGGGGACAACAUUUGGAAACGAAUGCUAAUACCGCAUAAAAACUUUAAACACAAGUUUUAAGUUUGAAAGAUGCAAUUGCAUCACUCAAAGAUGAUCCCGCGUUGUAUUAGCUAGUUGGUGAGGUAAAGGCUCACCAAGGCGAUGAUACAUAGCCGACCUGAGAGGGUGAUCGGCCACAUUGGGACUGAGGCACGGCCCAAACUCCUACGGGAGGCAGCAGUAGGGAAUCUUCGGCAAUGGACGAAAGUCUGACCGAGCAACGCCGCGUGAGUGAAGAAGGUUUUCGGAUCGUAAAACUCUGUUGGUAGAGAAGAACGUUGGUGAGAGUGGAAAGCUCAUCAAGUGACGGUAACUACACAGAAAGGGACGGCUAACUACGUG
Molecule: ribosomal RNA, 497 nt
Filed under: uncultured bacterium
Lineage: Bacteria
Description: partial 16S ribosomal RNA
Rfam family: Bacterial small subunit ribosomal RNA
Source: RNAcentral